This 467-nucleotide ribosomal RNA is filed under the name uncultured bacterium. RNAcentral describes it as "partial 16S ribosomal RNA". It matches the Rfam family "Bacterial small subunit ribosomal RNA", at positions 28 to 506 of the family's 1533-position model. The record is from RNAcentral.
GACGAACGCUGGCGGCGUGCUUAACACAUGCAAGUCGAACGGAAAGGCCCUGCUUUUGUGGGGUGCUCGAGUGGCGAACGGGUGAGUAACACGUGAGUAACCUGCCCUUGACUUUGGGAUAACUUCAGGAAACUGGGGCUAAUACCGGAUAGGAGCUCCUGCUGCAUGGUGGGGGUUGGAAAGUUUCGGCGGUUGGGGAUGGACUCGCGGCUUAUCAGCUUGUUGGUGGGGUAGUGGCUUACCAAGGCUUUGACGGGUAGCCGGCCUGAGAGGGUGACCGGCCACAUGGGGACUGAGAACCGGCCCAGACCCCUACGGGGGGCAGCGGGGGGGAAUAUUGCAAAAUGGGGGGAAGCCUGAUGCAGAAACGCCGGGGGGGGGAUGGCGGCCUUCGGGUUGUAAACCGCUUUCGCCUGUGACGAAGCGUGAGGGAGGGGAAUGGGUAAAGAAGCACCGGCUAACUACGU